AUGAGUAGCGAAAGACGGGUGAGAAUCCCGUCCACCGAAUGCCUAAGGUUUCCUGAGGAAGGCUCGUCCGCUCAGGGUUAGUCGGGACCUAAGCCGAGGCCGAAAGGCGUAGGCGAUGGACAACAGGUUGAUAUUCCUGUACCACCUCCUCACCAUUUGAGCAAUGGGGGGACGCAGGAGGAUAGGGUAAGCGCGGUAUUGGAUAUCCGCGUCCAAGCAGUUAGGCUGGGAAAUAGGCAAAUCCGUUUCCCGUAAAGGCUGAGCUGUGAUGGCGAGCGAAAUUUAGUAGCGAAGUUCCUGAUUCCACACUGCCAAGAAAAGCCUCUAGCGAGGUGAGAGGUGCCCGUACCGCAAACCGACACAGGUAGGCGAGGAGAGAAUCCUAAGGUGAUCGAGAGAACUCUCGUUAAGGAACUCGGCAAAAUGACCCCGUAACUUCGGGAGAAGGGGUGCUUCUUAGGGUGUUAAAGCCCCGAGAAGCCGCAGUGAAUAGGCCCAGGCGACUGUUUAGCAAAAACACAGGUCUCUGCGAAGCCGUAAGGCGAAGUAUAGGGGCUGACGCCUGCCCGGUGCUGGAAGGUUAAGAGGAGCGCUUAGCGUAAGCGAAGGUGCGAAUUGAAGCCCCAGUAAACGGCGGCCGUAACUAUAACGGUCCUAAGGUAGCGAAAUUCCUUGUCGGGUAAGUUCCGACCCGCACGAAAGGCGCAACGAUCUGGGCACUGUCUCAACGAGAGACUCGGUGAAAUUAUAGUACCUGUGAAGAUGCAGGUUACCCGCGACAGGACGGAAAGACCCCGUGGAGCUUUACUGCAGCCUGAUAUUGAAUGUUGGUACAGCUUGUACAGGAUAGGUAGGAGCCUUGGAAACCGGAGCGCUAGCUUCGGUGGAGGCAUCGGUGGGAUACUACCCUGGCUGUAUUGACCUUCUAACCCGCUGCCCUUAUCGGGCAGGGAGACAGUGUCAGGUGGGCAGUUUGACUGGGGCGGUCGCCUCCUAAAAUGUAACGGAGGCGCCCAAAGGUUCCCUCAGAAUGGUUGGAAAUCAUUCGCAGAGUGUAAAGGCACAAGGGAGCUUGACUGCGAGACCUACAAGUCGAGCAGGGACGAAAGUCGGGCUUAGUGAUCCGGUGGUUCCGCAUGGAAGGGCCAUCGCUCAACGGAUAAAAGCUACCCCGGGGAUAACAGGCUUAUCUCCCCCAAGAGUCCACAUCGACGGGGAGGUUUGGCACCUCGAUGUCGGCUCAUCGCAUCCUGGGGCUGUAGUCGGUCCCAAGGGUUGGGCUGUUCGCCCAUUAAAGCGGUACGCGAGCUGGGUUCAGAACGUCGUGAGACAGUUCGGUCCCUAUCCGUCGCGGGCGCAGGAAAUUUGAGAGGAGCUGUCCUUAGUACGAGAGGACCGGGAUGGACGCACCGCUGGUGUACCAGUUGUUCUGCCAAGGGCAUCGCUGGGUAGCUAUGUGCGGACGGGAUAAGUGCUGAAAGCAUCUAAGCAUGAAGCCCCCCUCAAGAUGAGAUUUCCCAUUCCGCAAGGAAGUAAGAUCCCUGAAAGAUGAUCAGGUUGAUAGGUCUGAGGUGGAAGCGUGGUGACACGUGGAGCUGACAGAUACUAAUAGAUCGAGGACUUAACCUAUA
RNAcentral lists this ribosomal RNA (1631 nucleotides) under Bacillus australimaris. RNAcentral describes it as "bacterial LSU rRNA". It matches the Rfam family "Bacterial large subunit ribosomal RNA", at positions 1302 to 2925 of the family's 2925-position model. The record is from RNAcentral. Lineage: Bacteria; Bacillati; Bacillota; Bacilli; Caryophanales; Bacillaceae.